GAACCGGCGGUGGACGGAACGCUCGCCAACCCGGUCAGGUCCGGAAGGAAGCAGCCGUAACGAAUCCGGUCUGGGUCAUAGCCGGUUCCCA
RNAcentral lists this signal recognition particle RNA (91 nucleotides) under Rhizomicrobium sp. RNAcentral describes it as "signal recognition particle sRNA small type". It matches the Rfam family "Bacterial small signal recognition particle RNA". From Rfam's summary of the family: The signal recognition particle (SRP) is a universally conserved ribonucleoprotein involved in the co-translational targeting of proteins to membranes. Archaeal SRP consists of a 7S RNA and homologues of the eukaryotic SRP19 and SRP54 proteins. The record is from RNAcentral. Lineage: Bacteria; Pseudomonadati; Pseudomonadota; Alphaproteobacteria; Micropepsales; Micropepsaceae.